GUCUCUGCAUCUCUUGGGUUCUUUCUCUCUCGCUCUCGUUCUUCAGUCUCUCGAGUUCUUGCUCUCUCUCUUGUGUUGUGUAUGAUGGGUGAAUCUCUUUUGGCAUCCCAUAGCUUUACUCAGUGGUGUGAUGGGUGAAUUUCUUUUGGCAUCCUACAGAUUUACUGAGUGGUGAAGGCUUCUCAAAAAAAUCAAAAUCACUUUAACAUAGUUGAAGUGCAGUCAUUCAUCAGGCAAAGUUGAAACGUUCAAGGACAAGGUAGACACCAUCCAUCGACAAGAUAUUUGCAGACUUGGUUGUUAAGCAUAUACAACUUGUGAAAGAGCAAAUUACAUUUAGUUGUUAUAAAGUAUUAGUUGUUGGAAAAAUGGAGCUACAACAUGAGGAUGGAACCUUUGGCGAAAAAAUAGUUGCAGAAAUAUUGAAUGUAAUUGUUAAAUAUUGAUAACAUUGCACUUUGGCAGACUUUGAAAUCUAAAAUUAUUUUGAAAUGUAA
Molecule: long non-coding RNA, 497 nt
Organism: Quercus robur (English oak)
Lineage: Eukaryota; Viridiplantae; Streptophyta; Magnoliopsida; Fagales; Fagaceae
Exons: 2
Source: RefSeq, a predicted model, not a curated record